ACAGCAGUAGCCACGGUAAUACGUAGGGUGCAAGCGUUAAUCGGAAUUACUGGGCGUAAAGCGUGCGCAGGCGGUUAUAUAAGACAGAUGUGAAAUCCCCGGGCUCAACCUGGGAACUGCAUUUGUGACUGUAUAGCUAGAGUACGGCAGAGGGGGAUGGAAUUCCGCGUGUAGCAGUGAAAUGCGUAGAUAUGCGGAGGAACACCGAUGGCGAAGGCAAUCCCCUGGGCCUGUACUGACGCUCAUGCACGAAAGCGUGGGGAGCAAACAGGAUUAGAUACCCGAGUAGUCCCUGUCUCUUAUAC
RNAcentral lists this ribosomal RNA (305 nucleotides) under uncultured bacterium. Its description in RNAcentral is "partial 16S ribosomal RNA". It matches the Rfam family "Bacterial small subunit ribosomal RNA", at positions 505 to 807 of the family's 1533-position model. The record is from RNAcentral.